Molecule: long non-coding RNA, 1864 nt
Organism: Anas platyrhynchos (mallard)
Lineage: Eukaryota; Metazoa; Chordata; Aves; Anseriformes; Anatidae
Source: RefSeq, a predicted model, not a curated record
UGUCUCAACACUUCUGGAUGGCAUAGACAACAGAGGGGAGAUUGUGGUAAUCGGAGCCACCAACAGACCAGGUUCUAUAGAUCCUGCUUUACGGAGACCAGGACGCUUUGACAGAGAGUUCCUCUUCAACUUGCGAAAUAAAGAGGAAAUGUAAAUCCUAUUUUACAAGCUGAUAUACUUGACAGUGAUGCCGACACAUCCUUAAUGUCUGGAGAUGAACUACCAGGAGUGCUUACUAGAAACCGACAUCAUGUGAGCCUCAUCUGCUAAUAACAGGAAAAGAGGGAUAUGGCCAGGUUUCUUAUUUGGCACCCGCGGUGUUGCAUGCUUGGGAGAAGUCUCCAUUCACACCCUGACCCUAUCCAUUCUGUUUACAAACGUUGCACCGCCAGAAGAAAUAUGCGGAGAGGUCUCUUUUUUCUUUUUAUUCUCAUAGGAUUUGUUGACUGUAUGUAAAGGAUCAAUUGAGUUGCAAGUAAGAUUCUUACAAGCUUCAAAUGGCUCCUACUGGGCAUUCCCAGGUAGAACAGCACCAGAUGAGUGUUGAGACCACCGUGGAAGCUUCUACAGAGCCAGACAAUGUAGUUAUUGUGCAGCACUAUGAGCUCAAAGUAUGUCAAAUUCCAACUUUUUUAAAUGCUCAAAUAGGACAUAUUCUUGUGACCUGUACAAUUACAACUUAAGUCAGUUGUUAAGCAAUGCCAAUUAAAACAAUUAAUUGGAAGGACAUACAGAUUGUGAAGUAAUUCAACCUAUAAUGCACUGUGGCUGUUUAGUUUCCACACCUUGUGUAGAUUUCUGUAGGCCACCGUUUGCUUUUGGUCAACUGUAGUUGAGGAGACAGAUUCUUUGCCUAAUUUUUAAGGUAAAAGGCCUUGUUGAAUUUUAAAAUACCUCACUGAUGACCUGCUAGUACUAUUGGUUAUGAUUGUUGUUUUAACAAUUUUUCUGAUGAUAGGCUUUUAUUUGGGGAUGUUUAUUAUGAGUUGUUGUUUUUCUGUUUGUUUGUUUGUUUGUUUGUUUUUUAUGCUUUGAUGUAUUAGGAACAUGAAAAGGAUCUUUAUUUCUUUCAGAGAUGAUUUUAAACCUGAAGUUAGCAGGUUGACAUAAACAGGGUAGCCAUGGAUAAGUGACUACUUUUCUGAAAUUGCUUCCAAAUGCAGUAUUAGAAUUUCCCAUCCAUACUAUUGCAGUGUACUGAGGGUUUGCCAGUCUCUCAUGGGAGGAAAGUGGUUAUCGUAGGCUCCAGCGGGGGAAGUGGGUAAGACUGGCACUAGGUACGUGAAGAAGAACGUUCCUUUGCAGGAGUUGGAGAGGGCAUAAGUAAGGACCGUCUUGAGGGGAGAGCAGAAUGAGGGAAAUUAGAAUGAGGCAAUUAGAAUUGAGGCAAAUUGCUAGGAGUCCUGGAGGUUGGCCCAAAGCAGAUAAGGGCUGCUGUUUAUGUGCUGCAUGAAUCCUGUGUGGGGAGAAUAUGACCAGAUAAGAAUCCUCUUGGGUAAAAGGGCUUGUCAACACGAUUUUUGUCAAAUCCUUAAGCUGUGACCUAAUUUGUAGAGGCGAUACUAACUUUUCAAAGGUGUCUUGCUAAGGAAGCAGAUUCCAGGUUUCUUUGUUGUUCGUGUACUUGCGAUUGUGAGCACAGAUGUGGUAGACUGAUAAGUAAUAAAAGAUUGUCUGAAGUGUAAGCCUUUCCUUUCUCUGAAGUAUGAAGAAUGAACUCAUUUUCUCCACUGAAAUGGCGUGGGAUAUUUAAUCUGUUCUCUGCAGUGUCACAUUUUAUUUAAUAGUGUAAGAAAAGUAGGAUGUCACUUGUAUUGUUACUGUUUAACCUCUGGAAACAUAAAGAGCGUAUUCAGUAGAUCUC